This 465-nucleotide ribosomal RNA is filed under the name uncultured Klebsiella sp. RNAcentral describes it as "bacterial SSU rRNA". It matches the Rfam family "Bacterial small subunit ribosomal RNA", at positions 338 to 795 of the family's 1533-position model. The record is from RNAcentral. Lineage: Bacteria; Pseudomonadati; Pseudomonadota; Gammaproteobacteria; Enterobacterales; Enterobacteriaceae.
CCUACGGGUGGCAGCAGUGGGGAAUAUUGCACAAUGGGCGCAAGCCUGAUGCAGCCAUGCCGCGUGUGUGAAGAAGGCCUUCGGGUUGUAAAGCACUUUCAGCGGGGAGGAAGGCGGUGAGGUUAAUAACCUCAUCGAUUGACGUUACCCGCAGAAGAAGCACCGGCUAACUCCGUGCCAGCAGCCGCGGUAAUACGGAGGGUGCAAGCGUUAAUCGGAAUUACUGGGCGUAAAGCGCACGCAGGCGGUCUGUCAAGUCGGAUGUGAAAUCCCCGGGCUCAACCUGGGAACUGCAUUCGAAGCUGGCAGGCUAGAGUCUUGUAGAGGGGGGUAGAAUUCCAGGUGUAGCGGUGAAAUGCGUAGAGAUCUGGAGGAAUACCGGUGGCGAAGGCGGCCCCCUGGACAAAGACUGACGCUCAGGUGCGAAAGCGUGGGGAGCAAACAGGAUUAGAUACCCCUGUAGUC